Small nucleolar RNA from Sciurus vulgaris (Eurasian red squirrel), 108 nucleotides. NCBI's taxonomy places the organism in Eukaryota, Metazoa, Chordata, Mammalia, Rodentia, Sciuridae. The record is from Ensembl.
AUUCUUUUCAGUUCACAUGUGAAAUGAUUGGGUAUUUAUGUAGUUGUGUGAGAUAUGCCCCCCACUUAAACCUUGUUACAAUGUUGGCAGAUUACCAACAUUGUAAUA